This 226-nucleotide long non-coding RNA is filed under the name Phaseolus vulgaris (common bean). RNAcentral's name for it is "long non-coding RNA (PVUL_LNC005330)". Lineage: Eukaryota; Viridiplantae; Streptophyta; Magnoliopsida; Fabales; Fabaceae. The record is from RNAcentral.
GGCUUCUGCGUUUCUUCUACACUAGGGCUUCCACAUUUCUUCUUCCACACGACGGAUUCCGCGUUUCUUCUUCCACAUUAUGGUUCCCGCGUUUCUUCUUUCACACUACGAUUUUUGCGUGCUAAGCUUCUUCUUCCAUACUACGAUGCUGAAGCUUCUCCUUCCACCCUACGGUAACCCUUCCGCUUGUUUGGUUCAAUCUGAUGCAUUUCUUCAUUUCCUUCGA